Molecule: unclassified non-coding RNA, 167 nt
Filed under: uncultured Dermea
Lineage: Eukaryota; Fungi; Ascomycota; Leotiomycetes; Helotiales; Dermateaceae
Description: sequence contains ITS1
Source: RNAcentral
CAGAGUUCGUGCCCUUCGGGGUAGACCUCCCACCCUGUGUAUUACUACCUUUGUUGCUUUGGCGGGCCGCUAGGCUCCGGCUUGGCUACCGGCUCCGGCUGGUGAGCGCCCGCCAGAGGACCCCAAACUCUGAAUUUUAGUGUCGUCUGAGUACUAUAUAAUAGUUA